This 980-nucleotide long non-coding RNA is filed under the name Populus trichocarpa (black cottonwood). RNAcentral describes it as "long non-coding RNA (PTRI_LNC003178)". The record is from RNAcentral. Lineage: Eukaryota; Viridiplantae; Streptophyta; Magnoliopsida; Malpighiales; Salicaceae.
AAAAAAAAAAAGAAACCAGCAGGGUCUCUGAAAAGAAACAAAACUACGAAUCAUAGAGAAUAAUCCCAAAUCACGAACUGGAGCAACAUCACGCAACCUAAGCCAUGGAACAUCAGGUGGUUGCGCCAGCAAAAGGUCGUCAAAAGAGCCGAAAUCCUGAGAAAGAAAGCAGAAAAUAACACCACUGAGCUAAAUUCAACUCUAAAUAAAUGAAUAAAUUCGGAUGACAAUGGGUGAGAAAAAACAAUGGAAACCUGGAAGAUAAUAAAAAAACCAACGACGGUAAAUUGAAUUCCAAUUGAGCUACACCACCGAGCAGAAGAGAGAAAGUACGAAUGCAAAACCAUGUAAAGAAAAGAGAUAGAUUAGCAUAGCGAAUCCUCUACAGGUCUCCCAAUCAGACUCAAAUCAAGCAGAAAAUUAUACCUAAACUCAUCAAUCAAAGUUGAUGGAAUGGGCCAUCGAAACCAAAUCCAGUUGAAGAGGCCAGCACGUUCGUUCAGCACCCAUCCCAACAAAACAAAACCCUGAACAUCCUGCACAACUAGCCAAGAUGGGAGCGUCUUUCCUGGGCAGCGAUCCCAGAGCACCAAUCAAGCGAGGAAGACCGGUGAAUCAAACCCAGAAUUCAUCCAAUCAGCACCCACGCCCAGAAACAGCAAGCCGAAAUAGCAGCCAGGGAUGGCAGUAAAAGAAAAGUUGGCAAGGGGCGCCAACACUGUAAAUUGAAGGGACAAAGAGAUGCACUCCCAUUGGUGGCUUCAAUUGAGAGGGAAGGGCAGGGCGGGAAACCACGUGAAGAGAGGCAGAGUGAUUUGUGCCCGUUUGGCGGCUGCGGGUGAGGUUGAUAGUCAGCCACAGAUAUUAAUGAUUGAUUAAUUUAAAAACAAAAUUUUGUUUUAAUAGGAUCUACCAUGAAUUGUGGUCGUGCCUAGAUUUAACAAAAGCAUAAUUUCUAUGCUUUGCAAAUAGCAGUUGAG